Molecule: long non-coding RNA, 1778 nt
Organism: Dalotia coriaria
Lineage: Eukaryota; Metazoa; Arthropoda; Insecta; Coleoptera; Staphylinidae
Exons: 3
Source: RefSeq, a predicted model, not a curated record
AGUGAAUGUACUACAAACAGAAACAUCCAGACUUGAACUUGACUCCGCAUUGCGCUAAAUUCGCCGCGGACUAAUUGAAUAAUCGCACGCAGAACAAGCCUUUAUUUGCCCGAUUCACUUUCAGUCGCUUGUGGUCGUCGAGCGCGUGGUCGUUAUUAGUUGCCCGACGGAAUGAUUAACCAAGUGAAUACAGAAUACAAGAUGACGAUGAGUAAGAGACUGUAACAUGGAAUGUCACAAUGUACAAUACACAAUGCUGAAUAUACAACCAACUCACUCACGCCCGGAUCAAACAAACGACAAACGAAAAAACAAACCGAGUGCGUUUGCUUCAAUUAACGCUUUGUGUGGUUUGCGCACACGUUUCGAUUCACCUCUGACCGCUGGCGAUUCCGAGCAAACGCCUUUUAAUUGAUCAAUAAAAUUACUGAAUUACACCACGUAUCGAUGUCAGCCACAAAUAUGAAUGAAAAUAGAAGAAUGUUACGUCAGACGGUGCAAGUUGGCAAAAUAUGGCUGUAUAACAUUAUUUAAAUCAAAAUUUGUUUACGCCAGCCUCCCAGAAUGCGCCAUAAUAUUGAAAUGUAUGUAAAUAUUAUGAAACUUUCAGUUAUUUUCAUUUUUCAACUGAAAAACCAGUGUAAUCAAUACACUGCCACACUUUCUAUUAUCUUCGAGUGAGUAGAGUUCUAUUUCUAAGCAUAUUUUCGUUGAUUACAGCUCGUUUUUCCAGCUGGUGGCAUGACUUCAUUAUUUAUUAUCGCCGCGUUACAUUUUCUGUCAGUUUGCGUUCAUAAACGCUGUUGCUCUGCCUACACACUUGCUCGGCACUCGGCUGCAAGUUGUACUUCGGACUAAAAUUACACUUUACACUUGAAACAUCGCCUAAAUCAUGCAUAAUCACGCGUACGUACGCAUGUUAGAAAUUGCAUGAAUAUGCAACCAUAUUAACAUAUAAACCACAUCGAAAUCUUUUGUUUCGUGCACGUAUUUGGACACAGUGACGAGCCGACGAGCUUUAUGCAAACGCGCGUUCACGGGCGUUCAAUAUUCGCACACGUUAUGUUCGAUUCUAAUUCUAUUAGUGAUUGUGUAUGGAUGUGCUAAUAGGUUUUGCUUACGUACGAGUGUGCGCGUGUAUUUAGUUGUGUCCGGAGACAGCGUGACGCUGCGUUUUAUGGUAGCUGGCAGUUGGAUGUACAUUGGGUUGCCUACAUGCGCGCCGGCAGGAAACGGCUCUUGCGCCUGUUUCGGCAUAUUUGAGUUUUCAGUUUGAGUUGGAAGUUUGGGUUAUGGGUUAGCGCUUGGAAUCUAAUCGAAUGCGAGCCGGGGCGGUGCACACACAUGUAUCGACAUUAUUUUCGCAUCGCUCUUGCCGGUCGGGUUCAUUUUGGUCGGCCGGGCGCGUCGCUAUUUAUAGUCGCGGCGCGGCGUGUUUGCAAACAUCGACGUAAUUCCCGUGCGCGACGUAAAAGUGUACGCCCGCUUGUAUUAAUGUAUUAAUCCGGCGAUGGGAAUGAUGGGAUUUUGGGAUGGGCGCGCGCGCAGGGAAAAAAACCGAGCGGAAUGACAGCGGUAUUUGCAUAAGCUCAGAAAAAUUACAGCGUGGAAAAUAAUGAAUUACGGGAUGGCAGUUAUUGGUACAAAUUGCGUUCAACCCUCAUAUUUGUAUCAAGUUUAAUGAGAACAAUGAAGUGGUUAAUUUACCAUUGUUCAUUUUGUGUUUGUUUCGAUUUUAAUUAUAGUAAUCACCGCCUUUUCAUUAAAAAUAUAUAGUA